This is a long non-coding RNA of Ornithodoros turicata, 1159 nucleotides long. RefSeq lists it as uncharacterized. Lineage: Eukaryota; Metazoa; Arthropoda; Arachnida; Ixodida; Argasidae. The record is from RefSeq and is a predicted model, not a curated record. The transcript is spliced from 3 exons.
CACCGCUCGUGACGUAUAGGCGCGGCGUUCGUUCGUAAGCUCCGACCAACGCAGACGCUCUGUUGGGUUUACGCUGCGACUGUGGUGUGUCAUCGUUUGUCAAGGUAUAAAGGGAAGUGAAGCUCUAAAAUGGCAGGAUACCCACAACAGAACUACUACCCACAACCACAGCCUGGCUUCCAGACGGGGCCACCCCCCGGGGGUUACUACCCACCCCCUCAGCCUGCUCCCACGCAAUACUACGCCCCUCCCCCACCACCUCAGGCGACCACAGUAAUUGUACAAGAGCCGAAGAAGGACGACGACUGCUUGAAAAAUUGCUGUCUAUGUACCCUCUGUAUGGCGCUGUGUUGUUGGUGCUGUACGGACUGAGGACCGCGACAUUUUCCGUGCUCCCAAAAACGUGGUGCACAGAUAGAAACCCUUCUGCUGCAGCUUCUUUCAUGAAGCAUUUUUUUACAGACAUUUCUGCAAGGACGUUUUUUACGACAAAGAGUUCAAAAGUGGGCCUCUUCAGAAACGCGGAGCUCACAAACAGAUGCCUCUCCUCAACAGCCUGCUGUUGAUGAAGGGCAAAACGCUAUGUCUUCCGUAAAGUGCCUGUUGUAGUCAUCCCGCCAUUGUUGGGAACGUGUUAACUGUAUCGUUUAAUGUGCCCAAAAAGCUGCAGGUAUGAUGUGAUAUCUUAUGCUAGAAUUCAAACGUCGGUCUUUCGUGUAACAAAAAUAUUGAUUCUGUGGAAAAUUUAUAUUUUAGGGUUAUUUGAGGGCGCUGCCUAUUGCAGAGUAGCUCCUUGAGCUCGUUCGAGUGAGGCAAUCGUUCGCUGUGGUGACUUUACAUCGUGGCACUAUUCCUCGCUUAAAAACGCCCAUAUGCACACCUCUAUGAUGUAACUUUUAUUAAGGAAACUCACAGGGCGGAAUGCAAUCCUUUAGACGUGCCUUUAAUGCCUGAUAGACGUAACAAGUGCCUUAUACCGUAGCGCCUACGGUGAUGUAUACCGAAACAUGUAAAAAAUAUACCAAACUUGUACGAUUUUCGUCCAGUUUUCGACCAAUGUUUCGAAACAAGUUGGGUGACAUUGGGUUUCGUAGAUAAAUUCAAUUGCGUUUUUGUGGGUGUCGACAUUAAAUUUACUGCCCUUGUAUGGCGACAUUUC